UACGGGGGGGGCAAGCGUUGUUCGGAAUUACUGGGCGUAAAGGGCGCGUAGGCGGUUUGCUAAGUUGGAUGUGAAAACUCUGGGCUUAACCCAGAGCCUGCAUCCAAAACUGGCAAACUUGAGUACUGGAGGGGAAAGCGGAAUUCCUGGUGUAGCGGUGAAAUGCGUAGAUAUCGAGAGGAACACCUGCGGCGAAGGCGGGUUGCUGGGCCGACACUGACGCUGAUGCGCGAAAGCCAGGGGAGCGAACGGG
This 253-nucleotide ribosomal RNA is filed under the name uncultured bacterium. RNAcentral describes it as "partial 16S ribosomal RNA". It matches the Rfam family "Bacterial small subunit ribosomal RNA", at positions 524 to 776 of the family's 1533-position model. The record is from RNAcentral.